This 795-nucleotide ribosomal RNA is filed under the name Memnoniella ellipsoidea. RNAcentral describes it as "eukaryotic LSU rRNA". It matches the Rfam family "Eukaryotic large subunit ribosomal RNA", at positions 74 to 906 of the family's 3401-position model. Lineage: Eukaryota; Fungi; Ascomycota; Sordariomycetes; Hypocreales; Stachybotryaceae. The record is from RNAcentral.
AUUGCCUCAGUAACGGCGAGUGAAGCGGCAACAGCUCAAAUUUGAAAUCUGGCCCUAGGCCCGAGUUGUAAUUUGCAGAGGAUGCUUUUGGUGAGGUGCCUUCCGAGUUCCCUGGAACGGGACGCCAUAGAGGGUGAGAGCCCCGUCUGGUUGGAUACCGAGCCUCUGUAAAGCUCCUUCGACGAGUCGAGUAGUUUGGGAAUGCUGCUCAAAAUGGGAGGUACAUGUCUUCUAAAGCUAAAUACCGGCCAGAGACCGAUAGCGCACAAGUAGAGUGAUCGAAAGAUGAAAAGCACUUUGAAAAGAGAGUUAAACAGCACGUGAAAUUGUUAAAAGGGAAGCGUUUAUGACCAGACUUGGGCCGGUUGAUCAUCCAGUGUUCUCACUGGUGCACUCUGCCGGUCUAGGCCAGCAUCAGUUCGUUGCGGGGGAUAAAGGCGUCGGGAAUGUGGCUCCUCGGAGUGUUAUAGCCCUUCGUGUAAUACCCUGUGGUGGACUGAGGUUCGCGCUCUGCAAGGAUGCUGGCGUAAUGGUCAUCAACGACCCGUCUUGAAACACGGACCAAGGAGUCGUCUUCGUAUGCGAGUGUUCGGGUGUCAAACCCCUACGCGUAAUGAAAGUGAACGCAGGUGAGAGCUUCGGCGCAUCAUCGACCGAUCCUGAUGUUCUCGGAUGGAUUUGAGUAAGAGCAUACGGGGCCGGACCCGAAAGAAGGUGAACUAUGCCUGUAUAGGGUGAAGCCAGAGGAAACUCUGGUGGAGGCUCGCAGCGGUUCUGACGUGCAAAUCGAUCGUC